AGCCCCGGCCCGCAGGCCGCAGACCCUCGAAGAUAAGCCUGCAAAGCAUCUCGUGGACUGCAGAGGCCAUCACCGCUCCCAUCCCGAAGGUUGCGCCGCCGCCACAUCUCACCGCUCUGAAAAAAAAAAAAUGAGUAAACUCAGUUAGAAGGACCAGUCUCACCAGCUGAUGCUGUUUUGGUUCAGGCGCCCAUUUACUUCUGUGAAAUUUCGUUCUUCCUUUGAGACAUUACAAGCUGUGGCUGGCUAUUUUUUACCUGCUUGGUCCCGAACUCAGUUGAAGAUGGACAAAUAGCAACCUUAGUUGUGAAGUUUAUCUCAAUGUUUAUUAACGUAUGUAAAACUUCCAUUGCUUGCAUGUACCUAAGGAGCGUGACUUUCCAAACGCUGCAGUGAAUUCAUAUGAUCUGAUCAUUUUAAUCUAUAUUGCAACCUGUCAGCAUGCACCAGUCAA
Molecule: long non-coding RNA, 454 nt
Organism: Brachypodium distachyon (stiff brome)
Lineage: Eukaryota; Viridiplantae; Streptophyta; Magnoliopsida; Poales; Poaceae
Exons: 2
Source: RefSeq, a predicted model, not a curated record